Long non-coding RNA from Olea europaea var. sylvestris, 1980 nucleotides. RefSeq lists it as uncharacterized. The transcript is spliced from 7 exons. The record is from RefSeq and is a predicted model, not a curated record. NCBI's taxonomy places the organism in Eukaryota, Viridiplantae, Streptophyta, Magnoliopsida, Lamiales, Oleaceae.
UUGUAGUAGAGAGAAAAAAAAAAUCGACGGUUUUCCUCCCCACAGCAAUCCUCAACGUCGUACCUAUGCCGGUCCCUAAGAACUUGACUCUCUUCCCCAAUCGCCGGUACUGUCUUUUUGGUUUCUAGAAUCAUCCUUUUUGAGAGACAUCGCAGUGGAGAGAAAAAAAAAAUCAACGGUUUUCCUCCCCGCAGCAGUCGUCGCCGUCACGCCUACUUCGGCCCCUAAGAACGCGACUCUCUUCCCCACUCGUCGCCACCUCGCCAUCACACGUACACCAACCCCUGGGAACUCGGCUCUCUUCCCCAACCAGUGGUACCUCGCUGCCUUCAGAUACGCAACCAGCAGAUUCCGACGACCAGAGGUUUGCCCAUCGUCGCACCUCCACUGGCCUUUAAGAACUAUGCACGUAGGAGCAGAUGGGGACGAAAAUUAGCAAGGAGGAAUUGUUCAUAGGGCUCAUGCUGGGGGCAAUGAAAAAAUGAUGUUAACAUAAAGCGAGUUGCUACAUUAUUGAAGCAUUUGUUGAAAGUUGCAUGCUGCACUUGUUUGGUAAUACUUAUAAGGAUUUGUCCUUAAAAGUCGACAGUGUCAAUUUAUAUGGAGGUAGUAUAAUUAAACAAAAUAUAAGGCACUUAUUCUCAACAGUGGCAAUGAAUGAGGCCUCUUGCUCCAGUCCAUUCCGUGACAUGAGCCGAAAAUCAUUGCCUGCCACAACUGUGAUGGAACUACCAUAAGAUCCUCCUUGUUUAUUGUCUCCAGUUCAUUUUUACUGUCCUUUCACUAAUUUGAGCCCCUAGCUUAGCCUCAACUACUCGAGCCUGGGGUUCAAUUCAAAUAAGGCCACGGGCAGACCCAUCAAGGGCCGAGCGGGGUCACCUGCUCUCGCUAUUUACAUGGAAAGCCUGGGGCUUAUUUACAAUUGAGGAAAUUGUUUAUGAACAACGUUAAGAAGAUGGAACACACUGAGGAUAUUUUCGGUGAACAUCAGGAAAACAUGAUGAUGAGGUGGUAUGCUUCUUCUACUGUAGAUUUUUCUUUUUACCUCUUUUUUGAAAAAAUAAAUAAAUAAAUCACCCCUGUUUAGUAUGAGUUGAUGAAAGUUGGUAAUUUCGUUCUUGGCUGUUUAGUUAACUUGGUAUUAGUUCACCAUCACUGAAAUGCUACAUUUGUCAUACUGCAUAUUUGUUCUUCAUGUAUUCAUAUAGCAUAAGUUAUUGAAGGAAGACAAAUUUGUUCUUGGCCAUUUAAUUCACUUGGUAAUUCGUCGUUUGUUUCUAUCAAUGUCUUCGUUCACUCUCAUGUUAGAUUUUUGGUAUUUAAAGGGAUGACACCGAUGGUAGCUUCAUGUACUCAAUUUUCACUUUAUCUGUACAUUUCUCUUUUAAAAGUUGAUCUCUAUGAGUUUUCCCUUGAAUUUUUGUUAGAUUCUGGAGCACUAGGUCUAGGACUACUACAAAAACACACUCUCUAUCGCUCCUCCAAGUUACUAAAACAACCUCACAGUGAAUAUGGUAAUCAAUUUAUUAACUCUUCAUUUGUAUUGCAAUUUGUAUUUUAUUUCUUUAAAUCUGGAAUGUGUGAAAAUAAGAGAAACUAUGAAAUUGGUGUUAUUUAUGAGCUAUUACUCGGUUUAAACAUAUUGUCAGAUUUUGUGGCUACUUUUUGCAAGAUUUCAGAGUUCGAUUUGCAUUGGCUUGUUCGAUUUCAUUGGUUAAAUAUUCUUUGUUAUUUUUAUGUUGGGUUUGUAUAUUAAACUUCAAUAUAUUAAAUGCUUGCUAUGUAGACUUUUGGUUUCCAGGGUCAGUUUAUCUUUUGUGGUUUCAAUUUGUUAGAGUGGGAUAUUUUUCCUCUUUCGAUUUACAUAGGUUGGCUUUUGUCUGAUUUCGUGGCUUCUUAUGUACAUAUAUAGGAAAUGCUUGUUGUACACACUUUUGAUUUCAAUGGGCAGUCAUUGAGUAUGAAUUUUUAUCUUUUGUA